AGUGAACGCUGGCGGUAGGCCUAACACAUGCAAGUCGAACGGCAGCACAGUACGAGCUUUCUCUUACGGGUGGCGAGUGGCUUACGGGUGAGUAAUACAUCCGUAUCUACUUUUUCGUGGGGGAUAACGUAGGGAAACUUACGCUAAUACCGCAUACGACAUACGGGUUAAAGCCGGGGAUCUUCGUACCUUGCGCGUUUUACUUCGCUGAUGUCGGAUUAUCUAUUUGGCGGGGUAAAGGCCCACCAAGGCGACGAUCAGUAGCUGGCCUGAGAGGAGGACAAGCAAAACGGGAACGGAGACACGGCCAAGACUCCUACGGGAGGAAGAAGAGGGGAAUAUUGGAAAAGGGGCGCAAGCUUGAUCCAGAAAGACGGGGGGGGGGAAGAAGGCUUUCGGGUUGAAAAGCCUGUUGGAAGGGAAAGAAAAGCAGCAGGUUAAUAACCCGAUGUUGUGACGGUACCCAAAGAAAAAGCAACGGCUAACUUCGUG
This 492-nucleotide ribosomal RNA is filed under the name uncultured bacterium. RNAcentral describes it as "partial 16S ribosomal RNA". It matches the Rfam family "Bacterial small subunit ribosomal RNA", at positions 29 to 507 of the family's 1533-position model. The record is from RNAcentral.